AGCAGCCGCGGUAAUUCCAGCUCCAAUAGCGUAUAUUAAAGUUGUUGCAGUUAAAAAGCUCGUAGUUGAAUUUCGGGACCAGUAUGUUGGUCGUGCUUCGGUACGUACUGUCAUUACCGGUUCCUACCUUCUGAAGAACCGCGAUGUCAUUAAUUUGGUGUCGUGGGGAAUCAGGACUGUUACUUUGAAAAAAUUAGAGUGUUUAAAGCAGGCUCGCGCUUGAAUACAUUAGCAUGGAAUAAUGAAAUAGGACGUUUGAUUCUAUUUUGUUGGUUUCUAGGAUCGACGUAAUGAUUAAUAGGGAUAGUUGGGGGCAUUAGUAUUCAAUUGUCAGAGGUGAAAUUCUUGGAUUUAUUGAAGACUAACUACUGCGAAAGCAUUUGCCAAGGAUGUUUUCAUUAAUCAAGAACGAAAGUUAGGGGAUCGAAGACGAUCAGAUACCGUCGUAGUCUUAACCAUAAACUAUGCCGACUAGGGAUCGGAUGAUGUUAUUUUUGAUGACUCAUUCGGCGCCUUACGG
This 520-nucleotide small RNA is filed under the name uncultured Entrophospora. RNAcentral describes it as "SSU rRNA". It matches the Rfam family "Eukaryotic small subunit ribosomal RNA", at positions 569 to 1093 of the family's 1831-position model. The record is from RNAcentral. Lineage: Eukaryota; Fungi; Glomeromycota; Glomeromycetes; Entrophosporales; Entrophosporaceae.